Molecule: ribosomal RNA, 1018 nt
Filed under: Argiope ocula
Lineage: Eukaryota; Metazoa; Arthropoda; Arachnida; Araneae; Araneidae
Description: 16S ribosomal RNA
Rfam family: Archaeal large subunit ribosomal RNA (bases 671-972)
Source: RNAcentral
UUACUAAAAAUACUUAUUUUAUUUAAAUUUUAUUUAAUUUCAAUUUAUACUGUAAAGGAAAAUUUUACUAAAUAAAAGAAAUUUAUUUUUCCUUUUGUAUCAGGAAUCUUCUAUAACUUCUAAAUUUUUAUUUUUCCUGAAAAAAGGUCAUCUAUAAAUUUAUUUAAAUAUUGUUUCAAAAAUAUUGUUAAUAAAUCUAUUGAAGUUAAACUCUAUUCGAACCUUUUAAUAUCCGGUUUCUUUAACUUUUUAAAAAAUACUUAUAUUCAAAAAGAUAAUUUUUUGAAUAUAUUUAAUAUUAUAUUUAUAUUUUCUAGGAAUAAAAGUAUCCAAAAAGUUUCAAAACUAAUAUUUUUAAGUAAUAAAAUUUUAUAAUAAAGAUUCUAUUAAAUAAUUUUAAUAAUGAAAAUAUAAGUAGAAAUUUCUUAUUAUUAAUUAAAUAACUAGGCAAAAAAUUGAAUGACUGUUUACCAAAAACAUUUCUUAUAAAUAUAAUUUUAAGUAACACCUGCUCAAUGAAUUUUAAAUAGCCGCGGAAAUUUAACCGUGCUAAGGUAGCAUAAUCAUUAGCCUCUUAAUUAGAGGCUCGUAUGAACGGUGAAACAUUUCAAUUUCUUUUUUAAUUAAUUUAUUUUAAUUUAAAUUAAGAAUAAAAAUGUUCUUAUUAUUAAAAAAGACGAUAAGACCCUUUUGAACUUUACUUUAGUUUAGCUGGGGCAGCUAAUUAAAAAUUAUCUUACAUUUUUAUUUUUAAAUCAAUGACCCAAUAAAAUUGAUUAUUUGAACAAGUUACCAUAGGGAUAACAGCGUAAUAUCUUUUUAAAGCUCUUAUUAAAAAAGAAGAUUGCGACCUCGAUGUUGAAUUAAUGUUACUAACUGAUGCAAUAAUUUUAAAAGUAGGUCUGUUCGACCUUUAAAACAUUACAUGAUUUGAGUUCAAAUCGGUGUAAACCAGAUUGGUUUCUAUCUUUUAAAUUAAUUUAUUUAGUACGAAAGGACCAAUAAAUUUAUUUUUAAU